AAGUGAGAGUGGCUUCUUCCACAAAUAGACCUCCUAAUGAGCUCAAAUAAGGUUUGCUUGCUAUCCGAACAUUUGAGCUCUGCUGCUUUGAAGAUCUUAGUUCCCAAGAAUAUAUUGCCUCUCCCAGGGGACACCACAAUGAUUCCCUUGAGUGGAACUAACAGUCAGAAAAGGAGGCAACUUUACUGGAAGGACUGUUUGGUGCUAACGAGGGGAAAUCGGGCUGCUGUGUCACACAUUGGGGGCAGGAAGGACUUCACCUACAACCCCGAGUACUCAUCAUCUUAGUACUUCUGCCUACUCAGACCCUUCAAGAAUGAAGGUUUAGAUCUUCCCACCAGUGUUAACUUUUAUCAGCCUAAACAAAUGGGUAAGAAGAUAGUAUUUUCAAGCCUCAUAGUAACCUUAAACCAAAGAACUACAAUGGAUACACAAAAAAUAGAAAGCAAGAACCUAAAUUGUGUCAUCAGAGAAAAUCACCUUCACAAAAAGGAAGACAAGAAGGAAAGAAGGAAGAGAAGAUCAUGAAACAACCAGAAAACAAAUAACAAAAUGGCAGGAGUAAGUUCUUACUUAUCAAUAAUAACAUCAAAUGUAAAUGGACUAAACUCUCUAAACAAAAUAGAGUGGCUGAAUGGAUUAAAAAAGAUACAAUAAUCUGUUGCCUACAAGAAACAUACUUAACCUAUAAAUCGACUGAAAAUAAACGGAUGGAAAAAAUAUUCCAUGCCAAUGGAAACAAACAAACCAAAAAUCCGGAAUAGCUACACUUAUAUCAGACAAAAUGGAUUUUAAAACAAUAACUCUAAGAGACACAAAGGUCACUAUAUAAUGACUUCAUGACUAAAACACCAAAAGCAAUUGCAACAAAAGCCAAAAUAGGCAAAUGGGAUCUAAUUAAACUAAAGAGCUUCUGCACAGCAAAAGAAACUAUCAUCAGAGUGAACAGGCAACCUACAGAAUGGGAGAAAAUUUUUGCAAUCUACCCAUCUGACAAAGGGCUAAUAUCCAGAAUCUACAAAGAACUUAAACAAAUUUACAAGAAAAAAUCAAACAACCCAUCGAACAGUGGGCAAAGGAUAUGAACAGACACUUUUCCAAAGAAGACAUUUAUGCAGCCAGUAGACAUAUGCAAAAAUGCUCAUCAUCACUGGUCAUCAGAGAAAUGCAAAUCAAAACCACAAUGAGAUACCAUCUCACACCAGUUAGAAUGGCAAUCAUUAAAAAGUCAGAAAACGACAGAUGCUGGAGAGGAUGUGGAGAAAUAGGAACACUUUUACGCUGUUGGUGGGAGUGUAAAUUAGUUCAACCAUUGUGGAAGACAGUGUGGCUAUUUCUCAAGGAUCUAGAACUAGAAAUAUCAUUUGACCCAGUGAUCCCAUUUCUGGGUAUAUACCCAAAGGAUUAUAAAUCAUGCUACAAUAAAGACACAUGCACACGUAUGUUUAUGUGGCACUAUUGACAAUAGCAAAGACUUGGAAUCAACCCAUCAAUGAUAGACUGCAUUAAGAAAAUGUGGCAUAUAUACACCAUGGAAUACUAUGCAGCCAUAAAAAAGGAUGAGUUCAUGUCUUUUGCAGGGACAUGGAUGAAGCUGGAAAUCAUCAUUCCAAGAAAACUAUCACAAUGACAGAAAACCAAAACCAAACACCACAUAUUCUCACUCAUAGGUGGGAGUUGAACAACGAGAACACAUGGACACAGGGUGGGAAACAUCACACACCAGGGCCUGUUGGGGAUGGGGGGCUGGGGCAGGGACAGCAUUAGGAGAAAUACCUAAGGUAAAUGACGAGUUAAUGGGUGCAGCAAACCAACAUGACACAGGUAUACCUAUGUAACAAACCUGCACGCUGUGCACAUGUACCCUAGAACUUAAAGUAUAAUAAAAAAUCAAUAAAAAAAUUUUAAAAA
This is a long non-coding RNA of Symphalangus syndactylus (siamang), 1911 nucleotides long. RefSeq lists it as uncharacterized. The record is from RefSeq and is a predicted model, not a curated record. Lineage: Eukaryota; Metazoa; Chordata; Mammalia; Primates; Hylobatidae.